This 57-nucleotide transfer RNA is filed under the name Lottia gigantea (owl limpet). It matches the Rfam family "tRNA", at positions 10 to 63 of the family's 71-position model. Rfam says of the family: Transfer RNA (tRNA) molecules are approximately 80 nucleotides in length. Their secondary structure includes four short double-helical elements and three loops (D, anti-codon, and T loops). The record is from Rfam by way of RNAcentral. Lineage: Eukaryota; Metazoa; Mollusca; Gastropoda; Lottiidae.
GCUCAGUCGGUUAGAGCGCCGUGCUAAUAACGCGGAUGUCAUGGGUUCGAGCNCCAU